GUUUGAUCCUGGCUCAGGAUGAACGCUGGCGGCGUGCUUAACACAUGCAAGUCGAACGGAAAUGUCACGCUGAUGCGAUUUCGGUCAAAUCUUGUGGCAUUUUAGUGGCGGACGGGUGAGUAACGCGUGGGUAACCUGCCUCACACUGGGGGAUAACACUUAGAAAUAGGUGCUAAUACCGCAUAAGCGCACGGGACUGCAUGGUCUUGUGUGAAAAACUCCGGUGGUGUGAGAUGGACCCGCGUCUGAUUAGCUGGUUGGCGGGGUAACGGCCCACCAAGGCGACGAUCAGUAGCCGGCCUGAGAGGGUGGACGGCCACAUUGGGACUGAGACACGGCCCAAACUCCUACGGGAGGCAGCAGUGGGGGAUAUUGGACAAUGGGGGGAACCCUGAUCCAGCGACGCCGCGUGAGUGAAGAAGUAUUUCGGUAUGUAAAGCUCUGUCAGCAGGGAAGAAGAAAUGACGGUACCUGACCAAGAAGCCCCGGCUAACUACGUGCCAGCAGCCGCGGUAAUACGUAGGGGGCAAGCGUUAUCCGGAAUUACUGGGUGUAAAGGGAGCGUAGACGGUUAAGUAAGUCUGGAGUGAAAGGCUGGGGCCCAACCCCGGGACUGCUCUGGAAACUAUUUAACUUGAGUGCAGGAGAGGUAAGCGGAAUUCCUAGUGU
This 669-nucleotide ribosomal RNA is filed under the name uncultured bacterium. Its description in RNAcentral is "bacterial SSU rRNA". It matches the Rfam family "Bacterial small subunit ribosomal RNA", at positions 11 to 676 of the family's 1533-position model. The record is from RNAcentral.